CUGUGUUUAAUCGUCUGCAGUCAGUAAAGAGUCGUGAAGUGAGCUGUGAUUAUUCACUGAUCUCUGACCCGACUGCUCGCUCUCUAAUGAGUGAUAAAUACAACAUGAUGCGUAAGUUAUAAUAAAUCAAAUUAUGUAUUCCAUUACUUUAUACCUUUGAAUAAUUUUAACUCAUUUUCAUUUCAUCCUUUGUCAGAUGUCUUUACAACAACAAUAACAACAACGACUCAGACAUCCACUCCUGAAGAGAAACCCAGUGCAGGAACAACAGCAACAACAACAACAGCAACAACAACAAUAACAACAACAAUAAAGAGUGAUAAAUACAACAUGACACGUUUCUUUCCUACACCAACACAGCCGUCCAUCACUACUGAGAAAUCCACUGCAUAUUCCUCUUCUGAAUCAACACAGCAGUCCGUCACUACACAGAAAUCCACUGCAGGAUCGCUGCCUACCGUACUGUCAGUCACCGGUGUGUGUGUUUUACUGGCUGGACUGAUGAGCUUCUGUCUCUGCGUGUGUAUCAGUAAGUCUUUAACUUCAUCUUUUAGCAAAAUCUUGAUGGUGUUGAUAAUUAUGACAUGACUGAACGUGUUUUUGUUACUUCGACAAGCAGAAGACUGAGAGGUUAGACAUUUAUUGUGUUCAGCUGAACUGCGUAUUAUUAAAUCCUGAUUUUAUCACAUCUAAGCAUCUAAUAGCCGUGUAUAUCUGUGUGGAUUAUCUUCAGCAGAUGUAAAUUGAACACGACCCACCGUGAUCAGGGUACAUUUAUCACUUUCUUACCAAGCUGGAAAAGUCCAAAAGCCAUAAACAACAAAAUAAAUAAAUAAAUAAAUAAAUAAAUAGAAACUCUGAGCUCUGAAGAAGCUCCACCCACUUCACACAAUCACAUCACGUCAUAUAUCACUGAAAAGCUGUUUUCUGCUGUAAAUGUUAGCUCAUGUGACAUUAUGACAUAGAUGCCAGUUUCCUUUAGAAAUCUUAUAAAGAUAUACAGUAACCUUACGUGUUAUCAUAAAUGACUACCGUGUGAAAUGUCUCCUGUUGUUGUGUCUUAAAAUUAAGACCUUCCUUGCGAGACAAGAAUCUUCACCAUCUGAAUUAUGAGUGCCCGUCGUCAUUUUUCCUUCUCUCCUUUACUGGAGGGGCUGGAUUUGAAUCUGACCAUUCUUCCCUCUUCUCACCUGUCAGUCCACCCUACUCUCAGUGGUCUCCUUAUUUCACCUUUGCUGACUAUCCCAUGUCCCCAGGACACACCCUAUUUUCUUCCCCCUACCGCUCUCCUCAAGAUUAC
This is a long non-coding RNA of Ictalurus punctatus (channel catfish), 1300 nucleotides long. Lineage: Eukaryota; Metazoa; Chordata; Actinopteri; Siluriformes; Ictaluridae. The record is from Ensembl.